Long non-coding RNA from Xiphophorus hellerii (green swordtail), 179 nucleotides. RefSeq lists it as uncharacterized. Lineage: Eukaryota; Metazoa; Chordata; Actinopteri; Cyprinodontiformes; Poeciliidae. The record is from RefSeq and is a predicted model, not a curated record. The transcript is spliced from 2 exons.
GUUCCCUUUGGUGAUCACCUGAAAGUUAAUUGGAUAACGGAAGAGCGAUCAAAGGAACCGUAACUGAUUUAAUGAGCCAUUCGCAGUUUCACUGUACCGGCCGUGUGUGUACUUAGACUUGCAGGGCUUAAUCUUUGAGACAAGCAUAUGCUACUGGCAGGAUCAACCAGGUUAGACGA